UACACGACCGUACCGCAAACCGACACUGGUGCGCGAGAUGAGUAUUCUAAGGCGCUUGAGAGAACUCAGGAGAAGGAACUCGGCAAAUUGACACCGUAACUUCGGAAGAAGGUGUGCCUUUAGUAGGUGAACCUGUACAAGGGGAGCCCAAUGAGGUUGCAAAAAAUCGGUGGCUGCGACUGUUAAAUAAAAACACAGCACUCUGCAAACACGAAAGUGGACGUAUAGGGUGUGACGCCUGCCCGGUGCUGGAAGAUUAAAUGAUGGGGUGCAAGCUCUUGAUUGAAGUCCCAGUAAACGGCGGCCGUAACAAUAACGGUCCUAAGGUAGCGAAAUUCCUUGUCGGGUAAGUUCCGACCUGCACGAAUGGCGUAACGAUGGCCACACUGUCUCCUCCUGAGACUCAGCGAAGUUGAAAUGUUUGUGAUGAUGCAAUCUCCCCGCGGAAAGACGGAAAGACCCCAUGAACCUUUACUGUAGCUUUGUAUUGGACUUUGAACAGAUCUGUGUAGGAUAGGUGGGAGGCUUUGAAGUGUGGUCGCUAGAACGCAUGGAGCCAACGUUGAAAUACCACCCUGGUGUGUUUGAGGUUCUAACCAAGGCCCGUAAUCCGGGUCGGGGACAGUGCAUGGUAGGCAGUUUGACUGGGGCGGUCUCCUCCCAAAGCGUAACGGAGGAGUUCGAAGGUACGCUAGGUACGGUCGGACAUCGUGCUAAUAGUGCAAUGGCAUAAGCGUGCUUAACUGCGAGACUGACAAGUCGAGCAGAUGCGAAAGCAGGACAUAGUGAUCCGGUGGUUCUGUAUGGAAGGGCCAUCGCUCAACGGAUAAAAGGUACUCUGGGGAUAACAGGCUGAUACCGCCCAAGAGUUCAUAUCGACGGCGGUGUUUGGCACCUCGAUGUCGGCUCAUCUCAUCCUGGGGCUGUAGCCGGUCCCAAGGGUAUGGCUGUUCGCCAUUUAAAGAGGUACGUGAGCUGGGUUUAAAACGUCGUGAGACAGUUUGGUCCCUAUCUUCCGUGGGCGCUGCAGAUUUGAGGAAGCCUGCUCCUAGUACGAGAGGACCGGAGUGGACACACCUCUGGUGUAUCGGUUGUCACGCCAGUGGCAUUGCCGAGUAGCUAUGUGUGGAAGAGAUAACCGCUGAAAGCAUCUAAGCGGGAAACUCGUUUCAAGAUGAGAUCUGCCGGGGCCUUGAGCCCCCUAAAGAGUCGUUCAAGACCAGGACGUUGAUAGGUCGGGUGUGGAAGCGCAGUAAUGCGUUAGCUAACCGAUACUAAUUGCUCGUGCGGCUUGACC
Molecule: ribosomal RNA, 1297 nt
Filed under: metagenome
Description: bacterial LSU rRNA
Rfam family: Bacterial large subunit ribosomal RNA
Source: RNAcentral